CGGGGCGUAGCGCAGCCUGGUAGCGCAUCUGCUUUGGGAGCAGAGGGUCGGGGGUUCGAAUCCCUCCGCCCCGACCA
Molecule: transfer RNA, 77 nt
Filed under: Terriglobus aquaticus
Lineage: Bacteria; Pseudomonadati; Acidobacteriota; Terriglobia; Terriglobales; Acidobacteriaceae
Also listed under: 14 other names
Description: tRNA-Pro
Rfam family: tRNA
About the family: Transfer RNA (tRNA) molecules are approximately 80 nucleotides in length. Their secondary structure includes four short double-helical elements and three loops (D, anti-codon, and T loops).
Source: RNAcentral